UGGAAAUGAUCCUCUGAGAUUCCUGAACCAACGAGGAGAGCACAUACACAGUGAUGUAUUUGGAUUGUACUCGCUGUAUGUCACUGAUGUAAAUAGAGUCUUUAUUUCCCAGGACGAGGUGAAUGGAAGAGUGGACGUCACUCAUCAGACAACAUCAGCAAAUAAAUCAAACACACUGGAAGUGGAAAUGUUUGCAGGAGUCAGCACAGGUGCUUGUGUGUUAGUGUGAGUUUGUGUUGUGUGCUGUGAUGUGCUGAGGGACGUAUAAAUGGACAUACUGCUAGUGACGCUGUGAAAGAGGCCGUCAAAACAUCUCAGAGGAGAAAAUGCAUACAUGGCAAGUUCAGUUAAAUGCUUUGAAUUCAUACAGUGACUCUCUAGUGUUCAGUGUUAAACAAUAAAAAAAUAAAUAAAGAAUGAUGAUUGAACUGGAACUCCAGUUUGAUCCAUACAGCCAGUCUAAAUUCAUUUUUGUUGUAAUCAACAUUAUGCUGCAAAUGCUAUCAAUUGAGCUUACUUAAUUAUAUCGAACCUGGAAUAUUCCUUUAAAGGAAUAGUUCACGCAACCAUGAAAAUUCUAACAUUAUUUAGUUGUUUUUGUUGCCCCAAAUCCAUAUGCUGCUGGAGAAAUUUAAGUUAAUUUCUAUAAAGUUACAGUUCAUAAUGACCAUAACUCUCAAGCUUAAAAAAACAAUAA
Molecule: long non-coding RNA, 697 nt
Organism: Myxocyprinus asiaticus (Chinese sucker)
Lineage: Eukaryota; Metazoa; Chordata; Actinopteri; Cypriniformes; Catostomidae
Exons: 3
Source: RefSeq, a predicted model, not a curated record